This 492-nucleotide ribosomal RNA is filed under the name uncultured bacterium. RNAcentral's name for it is "partial 16S ribosomal RNA". It matches the Rfam family "Bacterial small subunit ribosomal RNA", at positions 28 to 507 of the family's 1533-position model. The record is from RNAcentral.
GAUGAACGCUAGCUACAGGCUUAACACAUGCCAGUCGAGGGGAAACGGCAUUGAGUGCUUGCACUCUUUGGACGUCGACCGGCGCACGGGUGAGUAACGCGUAUCCAACCUUCCCAUUACUGUGGGAUAACCUGCCGAAAGGCAGACUAAUACCGCAUAGUCUUCGAUGACGGCAUCAGAUUUGAAGUAAAGAUUUAUCGGUAAUGGAUGGGGAUGCGUCUGAUUAGCUUGUUGGCGGGGUAACGGCCCACCAAGGCUACGAUCAGUAGGGGUUCUGAGAGGAAGGUCCCCCACAUUGGAACUGAGACACGGUCCAAACUCCUACGGGAGGCAGCAGUGAGGAAUAUUGGUCAAUGGACGGAAGUCUGAACCAGCCAAGUAGCGUGCAGGAUGACGGCCCUAUGGGUGGUAAACUGCUUUUGUAUGGGGAUAAAGUUAGGGACGUGUCCCUAUUUGCAGGUACCAUACGAAUAAGGACCGGCUAAUUCCGUG